This is a long non-coding RNA of Seriola aureovittata, 2711 nucleotides long. RefSeq lists it as uncharacterized. The transcript is spliced from 3 exons. The record is from RefSeq and is a predicted model, not a curated record. Lineage: Eukaryota; Metazoa; Chordata; Actinopteri; Carangiformes; Carangidae.
UCUGUUCUGUUUAAAUGCAACAUAUCUGAGCUGAGAUUUCAGCAUACAACACAGAAAUGUUAUUUAUCUGACAUACCUUGUAUGUAUUGUUGACAUUAUGGAUUAGCCGUGUCGUGCUAACCGUUAGCUACAUCUCACCUGCAUGCGUUGAAUCGACGGCGGAAGUGGUUUAUUUGGCUUUAUCGUGACAAAAAUAAUGACCGCUAUCAACACACUUUUCACACCGGUGAGCAGUGGUGAAGUGGAUUUUACUGCAGGGAAUAUUUGAAUCAUUUGUGUGGAGGUUUUGCUGCUCUUUUUCCGUCGUGAAAAGUACCGCUAGGCUACACCGACUUCAAGCUAACCACCUCUCACUGAGAAGGAAUCUAUAGACCUAACAUCUAACUUCCACCACUGGCCGGAUCCAGUCAGAUUCCUCCGACCUGAGAGCCAAGAGCAUUACUGGAGCACCCUGCAGACAACCGUCCGACAAACUUCAUUACAUUGCAGGCAGGUCAGACACAUGGCAGCUACAAAACAUCUUCCAUAGCUGCAGGGAUUUCCUGUCUUGCUCAAGGACACUUCAUCUGUGCGGAUGCUUGCUUUCUCUUAAAUCAAGCCCCUCCAGCUAAAUGACUGUCUUCAGAUUAGCAGCCUGCUGCCCAAAAUUUAACAACAGUAGGCUGCUGUCUUCAUAGUUGCUGAUUAUGGCAUUAGAAGGUUGCCUGAAAAUAACUCGUGUCUUUUCAAAACAGCCCUCAAAUAAUUCACCAGGGAACAGGAGAAGCUGUUGUCUGGUCUCCCCCAGAUGGCAGAGACUCUAGGGUGGCACUGCUUGUUGUUUUUGAUGAGCUGUUCAUAUACAAAAGCAAAACAUCUGGAGCCGCCAUGUGGCCUCUCCAUUUGGCCAACCCCAUACCUCCCCGAGCCAGAUGCACCCAAACAACUGUGAGCUAAACAGCAUGAAUGAUUCAUAGAGGAGCGCGAGGCACGGCUCACACCAGAGACCUGCCAGCCACUUUGAUUGGAAAUCUGAAAAAGCUAUGAAUAUGCACGAGACAUUAAGCCUGCUAGGGGGGAUGAUUUGUCAAAUGAUCUGUAUUUGACCAAUAUAAAGAAAGCUCCUGUGGUUUUCAUGAUUAGAAAAUAAGAAAUUUAAUGUCCAAUUGCCAGAAUCAUUAAAUUAUUAAGAUGUGUAAAUUGUUAGCAAGGUGCUACAGAAAAGUGACUGCAGCUUGGUGCUGGAUUGCUUCCCGUGUCAAAAGAUAAGCAGACAGUGUGGAGGGAGAGGCUUUCACACCUGCUCCAUGACUCAGUUAGAUCAAACUUAAUUAGGUUCAAAAUUGGAGAAUCUUUGCCUCUGAUAUCAAAACAUUUAUGCAGGAAUCUAUCUGUGGAAAUAAAACCAGUCAGUAAAAACUGAGGUUUCCUGUGGAUCAUCACACUCAGUGCUCUUUGGGUAAGUGAUAAAUUAGACUAAUUACAGUUAAUAAUAACCUUUUUGUAAUUUGUAUAUCCAAUGAAGUGAUACAUAUGUUUCAAAAUAUUUUUUUUUAAAUGUAGAGAAUUGUCACACCUGUUUGAUUUGAUUUCAUUUUAGCGUUUCAGGGAUUAAAGUUACAAUAUUUUAGUUGUCAUUAGGGCAAGUUUUAGUAGGUAAGAAUAAUAUUUUAGUUGUGUUUACUUAACAUGAAUGUAAACAUUCAUAGUCCACGCAACAUUUGUGCUUGUCAUAUUGUAUGCAAUGAGAAACGGCUUUUCCUUUUGUACAAAAAAAAUGAAAACUUCUUGUCUUGCCAGACUUUAAUUUGAUGUAUUACUGCCUGAAACAGGCUGCAAAAUUCAGGAAGCUGAGUUUCCAAAGUCACUGUCAGUGUAUGAUAUUGCAGACAUGAAGAGUGACUAAGAAAUCUUCACCUUAAUUAAAUGUUACUUUUGACACAUGGUUUAGUAGGUAUAUGUUAGAUUAACAAACAUUACCCAGCAAGAAAAAAAGAAAAUGGUCAAAUUGCUUCAUUUUAUAAUUUUUUUUGAAGAAGUGUUUUCAUUCAGACUUUGGGACUCAAAGUACUUGGAGUGAGAUCCAGACAUUCACACUCAGAUUUGAGCUUUUCACUUCCCUCAAGGAAAAAAAAUAUUCAAAGUAUUUUUCUUUGCUGGAAACUGGAAUACUCUCUGGUCCUUAAUUUGUUAUUAACAGAAGAUACGCUUUACAGAAUCAAAAGAAUUUAGGUUAUUAUGCAUUUUGCUUCUUAAAAAAAACCUUCUUUACCUUAUUCAUAUGACCCUCAUUUUGUGAAAUGAUUUUUCAGUUCACACUGUAUGUUUAGAGGAGUCAAGAUACCACUUGAAACACGAGAUCACUCCAGCAGUUUCUCUGGUACAUUUUUAUUUAAGACGCAUCAUAAGAACCUACUAUAAAACUCAUUUUACAACACAAUGACAGUGUGGUUCAUCAAGGAUACAGUGGUGCCCCUGUCCUGACCUGUCUGUGUUUUGGUCAUUCCUCUGCACACAGAGUUAUAAUUGAAAUUACAGAUGACAGUUCUGUAUCAAAGCUACCUGUAGACAAAAGAGGCUGAAAAUCUGUGAAGUGUUCCUUUUGAUUUGCAGGGAUUAUAUGGCCUUGUAUUUCAUAACAUAAGUUAACCGUAGUUACUGAUGUUUUUUUUUUCUUAUUCAAGUUUGUACAAAAAGGGAUGUUUGUUACUAACUAGUCUUAUUUUUUGUUG